This 626-nucleotide ribosomal RNA is filed under the name uncultured fungus. RNAcentral's name for it is "eukaryotic LSU rRNA". It matches the Rfam family "Eukaryotic large subunit ribosomal RNA", at positions 24 to 664 of the family's 3401-position model. The record is from RNAcentral. Lineage: Eukaryota; Fungi.
CCCGCUGAACUUAAGCAUAUCAAUAAGCGGAGGAAAAGAAACCAACAGGGAUUGCCUCAGUAACGGCGAGUGAAGCGGCAACAGCUCAAAUUUGAAAUCUGGCUCCUUUAGGGUCCGAGUUGUAAUUUGUAGAAGAUGCUUCGAGUGUGGCCCUGGUCUAAGUUCCUUGGAACAGGACGUCAUAGAGGGUGAGAAUCCCGUAUGUGACUGGGUGCCUAUGCUCAUGUGAAGCUCUUUCGACGAGUCGAGUUGUUUGGGAAUGCAGCUCAAAAUGGGUGGUAUAUUUCAUCUAAAGCUAAAUAUUGGCCAGAGACCGAUAGCGCACAAGUAGAGUGAUCGAAAGAUGAAAAGCACUUUGGAAAGAGAGUUAAACAGUACGUGAAAUUGUUGAAAGGGAAGCGCUUGCAACCAGACUUGCACGCUAUCGAUCAUCCGAGAUUUUUCCCGGUGCACUCGAUUGCGUUCAGGCCAGCAUCGGUUUUGGUGGUUGGAUAAAGGCCUUAGGAAUGUAGCUUCUCUCGGGGAGUGUUAUAGCCUUCGGUGCAAUGCAGCCUACCGGGACCGAGGACCGCGCUUCGGCUAGGAUGCUGGCGUAAUGGUUGUAAGCGACCCGUCUUGAAACACGG